CAAAGGAGAGGCAUUUGAAUUUAAAAUAAAUAAAUCAUUUUUGUCAAAAUGCUCUGUCAAAUGGCACAUCAUGCUCUCUGCUACCCCAGAUAUUUUCAUCAUGGACUACAUAUAAAGUGUAGCUACAGAUUUCAAUACCAGUGUUGUCCUGAAUACAGCUGCUGGUAUCGACAUAGUGGUUAAAGCAGUCUAGACUGGCUGAAGCCAAAAGGGAAGGAUUAUUUUGAAAGUGUUUCAAUCUGCAAUGAAUCAUCAUAAUCCAUACACCGCAUAAACCCAAGUACCGCCACUAUUACAAGGAGAUGAUUGAGAGUGAACAAGCAACACUUCAGCUUUAAUUAUCUGGAGCCUGGUGUUGUGGCCAAGGAGCUUUCACUCAGAUGGAACCAGGUUUCAGCUGCUGUGCAAUGUUGACGUCCUUCCUCCCAGAGAUGUGCAAUCAUCACCCGGACUGGAUACAUCCCAGUAAACAUAUUUUUAAGAAGAUCAGGACUUUUGCAAUGAAAAGGCCAUGUACAUUAUAUGCUGCUCCAAAGGGCAGGACAGAAA
Salmo salar (Atlantic salmon) is the source of this 549-nucleotide long non-coding RNA. RefSeq lists it as uncharacterized. NCBI's taxonomy places the organism in Eukaryota, Metazoa, Chordata, Actinopteri, Salmoniformes, Salmonidae. The record is from RefSeq and is a predicted model, not a curated record.